UAGUCGGGUUGCAUUUAGGUUCGUCUAG
RNAcentral lists this non-coding RNA (28 nucleotides) under Mus musculus (house mouse). The record is from RNAcentral. Lineage: Eukaryota; Metazoa; Chordata; Mammalia; Rodentia; Muridae.